AGUUUGAUCCUGGCUCAGGAUGAACGCUGGCGGCGUGCCUAACACAUGCAAGUCAAACGGAGUUCUUAAGGAAUGCUACUUCGGACAAAUGACUUUUGAACUUAAUGGAGGACGGGUGAGUAACGCGUGAGCCACCUGCCUUUCAUAGGGGGAUAACAUUUGGAAACAUAUGCUAAUACCGCAUAAGAUUACAGUACCGCAUGAUACAUUGAUCAAAGGAGCCAUCCGCUGAAAGAUGGGCUCGCGUCCGAUUAGAUAAUUGGUGAGGUAACGGCUCACCAAGUCGACGGAUCGGUAGCCGGACUGAAAGGUUGAACGGCCACAUUGGGACUGAGACACGGCCCAGACUCCUACGGGAGGCAGCAGUGGGGAAUAUUGCACAAUGUGGCGAAAGCCUGAUGCAGCAACUCACGAGUGAGGGAAGACGGUUUUCGGAUUGUAAACCUCUGUUUCUCAGUGACACAACAAAUGACGGUAACCGAGUAGGAAGCCACAGCUAACUACUUGCCAGCAGCCGCGGUAAUACGUAUGUGGCAAGCGUUAUCCGGAAUUACUGGGUGUAAAGGGAGCGCACGCGGGAUAGCAAGCCAGUUGUGAAAACUAUGGGCUCAACCCAUAAACUGCAGUUGAAACUGUUUUUCUUGACUGGAGUAAGAGGCAAGCGGAAUUCCGAGUGUAGCGGUGAAAUGCGUAGAUAUUCGGAGGAACACCAGUGGCGAAGGCGGCUUGCUGGGCUCUAACUGACGCUGAGGCUCGAAAGUGUGGGGAGCAAACAGGAUUAGAUACCCUGGUAGUCCACGCAGUAAACGA
This 810-nucleotide ribosomal RNA is filed under the name uncultured bacterium. RNAcentral's name for it is "bacterial SSU rRNA". It matches the Rfam family "Bacterial small subunit ribosomal RNA", at positions 10 to 809 of the family's 1533-position model. The record is from RNAcentral.